CAGCAGCCGCGGGAAAACGGAGGGGGCUAGCGUUGUUCGGAAUUACUGGGCGUAAAGCGCACGUAGGCGGCUGUGUAAGUCAGAGGUGAAAGCCCGGGGCUCAACCCCGGAAUAGCCUUUGAGACUGCAUAGCUUGAACACGGGAGAGGUGAGUGGAAUUCCGAGUGUAGAGGUGAAAUUCGUAGAUAUUCGGAAGAACACCAGUGGCGAAGGCGGCUCACUGGACCGUUGUUGACGCUGAGGUGCGAAAGCGUGGGGAGCAAACAGGAUUAGAUACCCCCGUAGUCCCUGUCUCUUAUAC
RNAcentral lists this ribosomal RNA (301 nucleotides) under uncultured bacterium. Its description in RNAcentral is "partial 16S ribosomal RNA". It matches the Rfam family "Bacterial small subunit ribosomal RNA", at positions 509 to 807 of the family's 1533-position model. The record is from RNAcentral.